Molecule: long non-coding RNA, 1034 nt
Organism: Vidua chalybeata
Lineage: Eukaryota; Metazoa; Chordata; Aves; Passeriformes; Viduidae
Exons: 4
Source: RefSeq, a predicted model, not a curated record
CGAGGGGGCACCGCCGGCGGCCGGGCGGCCUGGCGGGGCGGGGAGCGCGGACCCUCCCACACAGCCCAGCCUUUCUCUUCCCUCCUUCUUUGAAAUCCCAGCUGCCAUGAAAAUCCUGCUCUCCAACACCACUGAAACUUUCAGAAGCCUUUUACUUCUAACUGUAUAACCCUAGAAUUUCUGGAUGAAAAAGCCCUCUAUAAAUGUUCAGCUUCUUGGCUUCCAAAUGUAAGGAAAAAGCACUGCAGACACCUGACUGAAGAAUCUGCUGAAACCCUCUGAGCCUGGAAUGACCACUCAUUCAUGGCACUAGCAAUAUAAAAAAAAUUUUAAAAAGACACUGAGAAGAAAUUAAAGCAUUUAAAGGCUCAAACUCUGGAAAUAGCAGAAACUACUGGAAAAGAAGGCAAGAACACUUCAGUGUACAUCUGGAAACAGUGCCAGGGGUCUGAACCAUGAAGAAACUGCAUGUUGCUGCCUUGGAUGACUGUUUUCUGUAGAAUAAAAACACUUGCAGCAAAAGAUGACGUAUGCAGAAGAAAUAAUAAACAUAAGAACAAGUGGGACAUAUUACAUUAGGCAUAUAUGCACAGCUCCUAGCAUUUCUAGGAACUGUGCUGUAACUCUGAGAUAAAAACAACAGGUUGUAGAAAUAUAAAGGGGUAAAAAUACAGAUUUAUGCAAUUCAUUUUUUUUCUAUUUUAAAAAUGUGCUUCUAGAAAUUAAAAAAAAAACCAGGAAAACCAUCUUAGACUUUCUUAUUUUCAUCUUUCUUAUUUUUAGAUGGCACUACUAAAGAUAUUACAGCAGAAGAGCUGAUUAUGCAUUAAGAACUUUUUUAGCUAGACUUCUUUAACCAAUACUUCUUUAACCAAUAUGUGACAGAGAGACACAAUUUACAGGACAUACAUUUGAGCAGAAUACAGUGAAACCUAGAUUUAGGUGUGAGACUACUAGUUCCUCAUCAUUCCUCACUUAUUGGGUGCAGAGUAUGUAGGAAAGCUUGCUGAACUCUUAGAACUUUCCCCACUAGA